GAGGAAAAAGAAGCUCAGUGAAUUGAAAUGACUUGCCUAAAGCCACGUGACUAAUUCAUAGUGGAGCAGUGACUGAAAUUUGGAUCUCCUAAAUCCUAGAUGGCUAUUUUUUUGUAUUAGUUUUCCAGAAUGCAGUUGGAAAUAGAGGAUUAGACCCCGAGAGCAGAAAACGGUCUCUCUGGCCUGAGCAGCACAAGGAGAAGCAGUUCACCCAAGAAGGGAGAGCCGUUAGGCCAGAUUCUCACUAAAGCUGUCACCAUGAUGAUGAUGGAUGAGAGAAGGCUCUGAAAAUGAACCCAUGUAAUCCGGAGGAUUUUCAGCAAACAAAUACAAAUUCAACUUAAUACCCAAACGUGGCUUGUCUGUGAGAACCACCCAACAGGUCCACUCUUCAGGAGGCCCCGCCUGGAUGUUAAGCUUCUGUCCCUGGUGAAGCUGGGCUGUGGGAGUGGCCAGUUGUACAGUGUGAGGCCAGAGCCCCCUUCUCCAGGCAUUAUUCAAGACAGAAAAUCACAAGAGUCAAUCUCAGGGAUUUCAUCUUCUGCUUGGAGCAGGAAAGAAAAACAAGCCACUCUCUUCAGCUCUAUCGAGCCUUGCUUAAAUAAAGCCAAUCAUUUUCCUGGCUUCCUCAGAGGGAAGCUCAGCUGAACAUUUAAAA
Monodelphis domestica (gray short-tailed opossum) is the source of this 658-nucleotide long non-coding RNA. RefSeq lists it as uncharacterized. Lineage: Eukaryota; Metazoa; Chordata; Mammalia; Didelphimorphia; Didelphidae. The record is from RefSeq and is a predicted model, not a curated record.